GGAGAGUUGAUUUCAGCUGGUUUUAGUUUUUUGUUUUUUCAAAAAAAAGAAAAGAAAAGAAAGUGCUACGUACGCAAGGGUUGGUAAGAAGUUGUGCUUUUAGGUGGCUGUGAAUCACUUCUCGAGGCUGGAGCUGUCGGCCGUCCGUGAGACACCCAUUCUCAGCCUCAGAUCUCUGUUUCCUGACUCUUUUAUCAGCUUAUACCUCCACAUAUAUCUCUUCCUUAACGCGCUUGCAUCGGAUCGGGUUGUCAUGGCUCUUUUGAAAGUGAGGUUGGACCUUUUGAACAAAUAUUGCAGAAGAGAACGCCAUCAUUCUGAAGCUGAAAAAGCCCAACAUAUAAAGCAGAUACAUGACUUUCAAGAACAUAUUCAAGAGAAAGAGAGACAGCUUAUUGAGUUGCAGGAACAGUUUAUUUGCGUUUAUGGUGUGUACUUCUGUUGUCAUAUUCAAGUGAAAGUUAAAACUUCAAGUUUCCUAAUCCAUGUCAUAGGGUUGCUCAAGAGGCCAUUCAUUAUAAAGAUGAACAAUUGAGGGAACCCAAGCCUGGAUUGCUCGUGUUCAGGAGAUGGAUGCCUUUCAUUCAAAUACUAACCAUUCUAUACGAGCUGAAUUGCGAGAACGUACUGAACAAUAUAACCAGCUGUGGUAUGGAAGUUGUCAAAGACCAGUUUGCAGAGAUGGAAAGACUUCAUCUGCAUGCGUUACAACAGCUCCAUCUUGAGCUUGCUGAUGCACGGGAAAGGAAAGGAGUGGAACUUACAAUGGUGAGUCGCGUUUAUCCCAAACAAAUUCAAAGGACGUAUCUCGGUUUGCACAGAGCAAUGGAAAGCAACUAGAUGGAAACCAACUAGAGCAAUGUUUUCAUCUUUUGCUUCAAUUGACGGUGCAUCAACGCAGGUUGGACAAUGGGAGAAUAGCCAGAACAGCAAAGUAGGUUUAAUUGCUGAAAUACUGGAAGGGUAUUUGACGAGUCAAUUUUUACUAUGAAGGUUUAAUUUAGCGGAUGACUUCUCAGAGUUGAAUAUGCAUAUUUGAAAGACUACUAUACUGUAUAUUCACAUGAAUUUCACAUUUACUUAUCAAAGCAAGUCGAGUCUACAAACAAACAACAGAUAUAUUUCUUUAUGUUUUAAGUUUUCAUAUUUGUGAAUUGAAAAUUUGAAAUGCUUUGGCCAAACAGAGGUAUCAUGAGAGUCAAAAAGCUGUUUGGCCCAAACAAAGCAGCAGAUAUAUUUUUAUUUACCUAUUAGGUUUUUU
Molecule: long non-coding RNA, 1261 nt
Organism: Alnus glutinosa
Lineage: Eukaryota; Viridiplantae; Streptophyta; Magnoliopsida; Fagales; Betulaceae
Exons: 5
Source: RefSeq, a predicted model, not a curated record